Molecule: long non-coding RNA, 1998 nt
Organism: Humulus lupulus (European hop)
Lineage: Eukaryota; Viridiplantae; Streptophyta; Magnoliopsida; Rosales; Cannabaceae
Exons: 3
Source: RefSeq, a predicted model, not a curated record
CUUUUUCUUACUAACUUUUAAUUGAUUUUAGAUUAUCUUAUCAAAAGCUGGGUGCUUUUAUGGUUUUGUUCCUCCCCCCAGAAUUUUAAAAAUGUCCUCCAGCUCAUGAAAGAUGCAUUUUUCAAACAUGGUGAGAAGGAAGCAUUAAGAUCUUGUGUGAAGGCUAUUAACUUUUGUUCUACGGAGAGCCAAGGGGAGCUACAAGAUUUUGCUCGUUCUAAGUUGAUAUUGUCCAGAUGAGGCAAUUCUCCAAAAGUUUUGGAAACUUUGUGAGCAACAACUUAAUAUUUCAGAUGAGACAGAAGAUGAUGAUGUUAACAAGGAGUAUGUUGAGGACACAAACAGAUGAUGUGUUAAGGUCGUUGCUGCAAAGUUGGUUGACAGUUAGUUAAGUGGCAGCUGAUUGAUCUGUUAUGGUUUACUAUGAAUAUGUUAGUCUUGCUCUUAUUUUUAGAUCAUUAUAAGUAUGUUGUUGGAUAGUACCCGAGGUUUCUAAGAGCUCACUGGAAGUUCCUAAAAACUGUUGUGAACAAAUUGUUUGAGUUCAUGCAUGAGACACAUCCUGGUGUUCAGGUUUUUGUUCUGUUGUUGUUUUCUUGUCUCAUUAACAGUUGCAAAACAUUUGCUUGAACUCUUAUUUAUUAUAGUGUCACUAAGUGUUUUUAUUUGUUAUAGCUAGCUUAUUAAGUAUAUUAUAAUUAAGGAAUCCUGAAUGGUGUCUCACAUUUUAUUUGCUUAAUUGGUUGACCAUUAGACUUGUUCAACACAGCUGUAGGCCAUCUUUUUCAUGAUUUUUGUUGAAGUAUCUAAUUUGCUAUAUGGUUUGAGCAAUUCUUAUAAAAAUAAGCAUAGACAUAUCUGGAGACAAAUCGAACAUUACAAGAAGCACAACAUCAGUAUUUUUAGGUCAUGUUUGGAAUGUGAAAUUGGAUUGGAUUAAAAAAUAUAAGGUAAAAAACAUAAAAGAAUGAAUAAAAUAAUCAUUUUUGAAUGAUAAAUUAGAAGGAAACAAGUUGGGUAUAAAGUUGUAAUUUUUUUUUCUUAUCAUUGAAAUAUAUGAAGACGGGGAUUAGAUAGAUUGAAAUGAUCUCAAGAUCUUACUUUGUGCAUUUGAUUUCUUGUUAUUUUCUAUUAUUGGUUAUAUAUUAAUGUAUUCAUUAUUGAUGAGAUUUAAGUGUUGAUCAUAUGUAAUUAUUCCAUUCAAAUACAAUGUAAACCAUGUCCAGCCACUGCUUAACUGGCCUUUUCUUUUUAUUUGCUCAUAAGCAGUUGCUUCAACUAAAUUGGGGAAGAUAUUGAACUCCUAUGCCAUAUUGGACAUGAAAAUGUAAGGACUGUUAACAAUUAGAAUAGCUCCUUAAGCUCUUAGCCAUUUGAACUCCUUAAGCGAUUUAGCCAUUUGAACUCCUUAAGCGAUUUUCACCUUCUUUACUAAUUUUGACCUCAUUACUGACUAGUUCAGAAGAGAAUUUGGGUUUAGUUUUACACUAAUGAACAUGACUAUUUCAUAUAUGUUUCAUAUCUUGCAAAGCUGCUUUGUUUUGGUUUAUACUGUACAUAUUUUUGUUUAAUCUAACAUUACUUACUUAAGUAGUGUUGGGUUUCAUUGCUUUUUGCUUUUCAUAUAUGUUUCAUUGCAGAGUUAAAUUGUUUGACAUUAAGAAGAGAUUAACAGUUGUAGGCUUUAAAAAAUUUCAGAGCAACAUCAUGAGGAGGUUUGCCUUGGAAACCUGAGGAGAUUUCAAUUUAGAGAGCUUCAGAUGGCAACAAACAACUUCAGCAGCAAGUACUUGGUUGGAUGAUGAAUUGAAGGAUGGAGCAAGUUUCAUGCAUGAUUUACUUUGUGUAUCUUGUAAUGUUUCUGUUUUUCAUUUUGAAAGUAAAAAAUGUUCAAGAUUAUAAAACUUUAUUAUGUUAUGCUUUCAAAUUUAAGUUAGAACUAAGAUCUCAUGAAGUAGACAUAUUUAUGGUUUGAAUUAGUUAUUGUUUAAUGUAAUA